ACAUUGAUCUUAAUUGUCAUAUCUCAUGCUUUGGUUCUGAAUCUCCAACUUCAAACCUCUCCUUCCGCUUAUGUCUUCUUGUUUGCUUGAGGGCAAGUAAAGACUAAGUUUGGGGGAGUUGAUAUGUCUAUAAU
Molecule: small RNA, 134 nt
Filed under: Arabidopsis thaliana (thale cress)
Lineage: Eukaryota; Viridiplantae; Streptophyta; Magnoliopsida; Brassicales; Brassicaceae
Description: ATSL205740
Source: RNAcentral